AGAGUUUGAUCAUGGCUCAGGACGAACGCNNGGCGGCGUGCUUAACACAUGCAAGUCGAGCGGAAAGGCCCUUCGGGGUACUCGAGCGGCGAACGGGUGAGUAACACGUGAGCAAUCUGCCCUUAGCUUCGGGAUAGCUCCGGGAAACCGGAAUUAAUACCGGAUAUGACUAUGGCCGACAUCAGCCAUGGUGGAAAGUUUUUCGGCUAGGGAUGAGCUCGCGGCCUAUCAGCUAGUUGGUGGGGUAACGGCCUACCAAGGCGACGACGGGUAGCCGGCCUGAGAGGGCGACCGGCCACACUGGGACUGAGACACGGCCCAGACUCCUACGGGAGGCAGCAGUGGGGAAUAUUGCGCAAUGGGCGAAAGCCUGACGCAGCGACGCCGCGUGGGGGAUGAAGGCCUUCGGGUUGUAAACCCCUUUCAGCAGGGACGAAGCGAAAGUGACGGUACCUGCAGAAGAAGCGCCGGCUAACUACGUGCCAGCAGCCGCGGUAACACGUAGGGCGCAAGCGUUGUCCGGAAUUAUUGGGCGUAAAGAGCUCGUAGGCGGUCUGCCACGUCCGCUGUGAAAACCUAGGGCUUAACCCUGGGCUUGCAGUAGAUACGGGCAGACUAGAGGUAGGUAGGGGAGAAUGGAAUUCCCGGUGUAGCGGUGAAAUGCGCAGAUAUCGGGAGGAACACCGGUGGCGAAGGCGGUUCUCUGGGCCUUACCUGACGCUGAGGAGCGAAAGCGUGGGGAGCAAACAGGAUUAGAUACCCCCGUAGUCC
This 771-nucleotide ribosomal RNA is filed under the name uncultured bacterium. RNAcentral's name for it is "bacterial SSU rRNA". It matches the Rfam family "Bacterial small subunit ribosomal RNA", at positions 8 to 796 of the family's 1533-position model. The record is from RNAcentral.